This 513-nucleotide ribosomal RNA is filed under the name uncultured bacterium. RNAcentral's name for it is "partial 16S ribosomal RNA". It matches the Rfam family "Bacterial small subunit ribosomal RNA", at positions 28 to 523 of the family's 1533-position model. The record is from RNAcentral.
GAUGAGCGCUGGCGGCGUGCCUAAUACAUGCAAGUCGAGCGAACAGACGAGGAGCUUGCUCCUCUGACGUUAGCGGCGGACGGGUGAGUAACACGUGGAUAACCUACCUAUAAGACUGGGAUAACUUCGGGAAACCGGAGCUAAUACCGGAUAAUAUAUUGGACCGCAUGGUUCAAUAGUGAAAGACGGUUUUGCUGUCACUUAUAGAUGGAUCCGCGCCGCAUUAGCUAGUUGGUAAGGUAACGGCUUACCAAGGCAACGAUGCGUAGCCGACCUGAGAGGGUGAUCGGCCACACUGGAACUGAGACACGGUCCAGACUCCUACGGGAGGCAGCAGUAGGGAAUCUUCCGCAAUGGGCGAAAGCCUGACGAAGCAACGCCGCGUGAGUGAUGAAGGUCUUCGGAUCGUAGAACUCUGUUAUUAGGGAAGAACAAAUGUGUAAGUAACUAUGCACGUCUUGACGGUACCUAAUCAGAAAGCCACGGCUAACUACGUGCCAGCCGCCGCAGUAA